Molecule: ribosomal RNA, 433 nt
Filed under: uncultured bacterium
Lineage: Bacteria
Description: partial 16S ribosomal RNA
Rfam family: Bacterial small subunit ribosomal RNA
Source: RNAcentral
AACGAACGCUGGCGGCAGGCCUAACACAUGCAAGUCGAGCGAGGACUUCGGUUCUAGCGGCGGACGGGUGUGUAACGCGUGGGAAUGUGCCCUUCUCUACGGAAUAGCCCUGGGAAACUGGGAGUAAUACCGUAUACGCCCUAUUGGGGAAAGAUUUAUCGGAGAAGGAUCAGCCCGCGUUGGAUUAGGUAGUUGGUGGGGUAAUGGCCUACCAAGCCGACGAUCCAUAGCUGGUUUGAGAGGAUGAUCAGCCACACUGGGACUGAGACACGGCCCAGACUCCUACGGGAGGCAGCAGUGGGGAAUCUUAGACAAUGGGGGCAACCCUGAUCGAGCCAUGCCGCGUGAGUGAUGAAGGCCUUAGGGUUGUAAAGCUCUUUCAGCUGGGAAGAUAAUGACGGUACCAGCAGAAGAAGCCCCGGCUAACUCCGUG